UGAGCAUUCGGACGCCAUAGUUACACGGUUUAAUAAAAUGCAAUACAUUUGCUUCAGUUUUACAUUAAGUUUUCCUUGGAAAACGUCGUGUCAAUGUGCACCUGUUCUGUUAAAUGCUCUCCGCACCUGCAUAGUUCACAAGAAAGAAAGACCGGUAUGGAACAAUGUGACGGAUUUGGACCAUCAGCGGACAUGCCUGGAGGAGGACAGUAGCUGUCUGCGAGCUGAGAUCCGACUUUAGACCUCUCACAUAAGUGAUCCAUCGUGCUCAACACAUGCUAGGCCUGGAUGUUCGCCAUAGUCUCCUGUGUACAACAUGCCCAUGCCAAGAUCCUGCUGCUGUACCUUUAGCCGUGACAAGUCGGCCUCUGCACCAGCUGUGCCCAUGGGGCGUCAUCAGUCGUAACAAGAGUCGGUGUGCCCGCUUCAGCGCAACCCCAUUGUGGUGUUAGAGGAUAAUAACACUCUGCUUCCUUUUGUCAGUGUGUUUUGCUGGAUGAUAAACAGAGGGGAUGAAGGACCGGCAGAGGAGCUCAGGCUCAAAGAGUGGCAUCAGCAGGUGGAGAGACAGACAUGGUGGAACCACAGGCGGAGGGUGAACCAGCUGCAGGGGAAAGCUAUGAAGUCUACGAGGUGGGCAUGCGAUUCUGCAAGGGAUAAGAUUGAAGAAAAAUAAUUCCCAGGAAGCACAGGAAGAGAUGGAGGAGGAAACAUUACAGCAAACCUCUUGCAAGGAGUUCUCAAAGAAUAAAAAUAAACUUUAAGACGAUAAACAGAGAAACCCUGCAGAAAGAAUUGAGAUCGAGACUUUUUUGACCCUUCAUUGACUUCUUUUAGGUGUUUCAAUGAGAACUUGGGAAACACUAAAUUUGGCCUCACAGAAAAAGGUUCAGUCCAAAUCUUUUGAUACCAGUAGGUGCUCCAUGUGAAAGUAAUCUUGAAUGAUGAAUGAAGGCCCAGGCAGAAGUCUGAAUUUUAAGAGCAGAAAUCUCCAGCCCGAAGUCUUGCUAUGUCCAGAAAGUCAUCCGUAUGGAACACCCUGAAGAGGCAAUGGACCAGCUAACAGAAGAGCUCCAAGCAGCCCUGGACAAUCUGAAGAGCCAGACGGGGAAAAUACACCAGUGCGAGGAAAAAAUUGAGAGAUUAAGAGAGAAAAUGGACAGCCACCAAAAAUGGUGCUGGCAGGCUCCGUCUUUCAGAGAGGAGUAUGAGGCAUCAGCAUAUAGCAGCCCUAAAACUGGUGGUCCAGCUGCACAGGAAGAUCCCGGAAGGGCCAAGUUCACACCGAUCAGUCUUAGUACCAUGAUGAUGGCCACAGCACAACCACAUGGACCUAAAACAACUAGAGAGGCGCUUUCAAGCCAAGAGGUUUAAUAUCAUAAAAAAUCAGUGGUGUCAGAGGACUGGGCAGAAUUAUGAAAGCAUUAUGAAAGACCAGACCAGAGCCUCAGGCAGUUCUGCACCACCCAGCUCCAGCUCACAUUUCACAGUUACUCUUGACUGGAAACCCUGUGUGAUUCCAUCCGUCUCAACUUACCGGAACUACCUACAGAGUUACAUCUCACCUUACCGCACCCCUGCCUCCAGCUGAGCCGCCCCUCUUCCUGUAGCCUCCCGACUUCUUUCUUUCUGC
Long non-coding RNA from Cyprinus carpio carpio, 1633 nucleotides. NCBI's taxonomy places the organism in Eukaryota, Metazoa, Chordata, Actinopteri, Cypriniformes, Cyprinidae. The record is from Ensembl.